Molecule: ribosomal RNA, 1017 nt
Filed under: Campylobacter jejuni
Lineage: Bacteria; Pseudomonadati; Campylobacterota; Epsilonproteobacteria; Campylobacterales; Campylobacteraceae
Description: partial 23S ribosomal RNA
Rfam family: Bacterial large subunit ribosomal RNA
Source: RNAcentral
UAAAAAAAGGUAAGCUACUAAGAGCGAAUGGUGGAUGCCUUGACUGGUAAAGGCGAUGAAGGACGUACUAGACUGCGAUAAGCUACGGGGAGCUGUCAAGAAGCUUUGAUCCGUAGAUUUCCGAAUGGGGCAACCCAAUGUAUAGAGAUAUACAUUACCUAUAUAGGAGCGAACGAGGGGAAUUGAAACAUCUUAGUACCCUCAGGAAAAGAAAUCAAUAGAGAUUGCGUCAGUAGCGGCGAGCGAAAGCGCAAGAGGGCAAACCCAGUGCUUGCACUGGGGGUUGUAGGACUGCAAUAUGCAAGAGGUAAGUUUAGCAGAACAUUCUGGAAAGUAUAACCAUAGAGGGUGAUAGUCCCGUAUGCGAAAAACAAACCUUAGCUAGCAGUAUCCUGAGUAGGGCGGGACACGAGGAAUCCUGUCUGAAUCCGGGUCGACCACGAUCCAACCCUAAAUACUAAUACCAGAUCGAUAGUGCACAAGUACCGUGAGGGAAAGGUGAAAAGAACUGAGGUGAUCAGAGUGAAAUAGAACCUGAAACCAUUUGCUUACAAUCAUUCAGAGCCCUAUGUAGCAAUACAGGGUGAUGGACUGCCUUUUGCAUAAUGAGCCUGCGAGUUGUGGUGUCUGGCAAGGUUAAGCAAACGCGAAGCCGUAGCGAAAGCGAGUCUGAAUAGGGCGCUUAGUCAGAUGCUGCAGACCCGAAACGAAGUGAUCUAUCCAUGAGCAAGUUGAAGCUAGUGUAAGAACUAGUGGAGGACUGAACCCAUAGGCGUUGAAAAGCCCCGGGAUGACUUGUGGAUAGGGGUGAAAGGCCAAUCAAACUUCGUGAUAGCUGGUUCUCUCCGAAAUAUAUUUAGGUAUAGCGUUGUGUCGUAAUAUAAGGGGGUAGAGCACUGAAUGGGCUAGGGCAUACACCAAUGUACCAAACCCUAUCAAACUCCGAAUACCUUAUAUGUAAUCACAGCAGUCAGGCGGCGAGUGAUAAAAUCCGUCGUCAAGAGGGAAACAACCCAG